GGCAAGGUGGCCGAGUGGUCUAAGGCGCUGCUUUCAAGAUCAAGUGAUCUUCCUCAAUACAGGUCCAGCAGUGGGGAAACUCUCGCGUGUUCGAAUCACGUCCUUGUCA
This 109-nucleotide transfer RNA is filed under the name Aspergillus calidoustus. It matches the Rfam family "tRNA". Rfam says of the family: Transfer RNA (tRNA) molecules are approximately 80 nucleotides in length. Their secondary structure includes four short double-helical elements and three loops (D, anti-codon, and T loops). Lineage: Eukaryota; Fungi; Ascomycota; Eurotiomycetes; Eurotiales; Aspergillaceae. The record is from Rfam by way of RNAcentral.